AGGGGCUGUGCAAGCCGGUGCUUUUGAGCCCAAGCUGGAUUAAGACCCCUGCAGUUAAUCACGGCGGCCCGACAUGCAGCGACACCAUUUGAUAAAGGUGCAUGUCUUUGGAGGUGGGAGGAAGCCGGAGUACCCGGGGAGAACAUGCAAACUCCACACAGAAAGAUCCCGAGCCCAGGAUCGAACCCAGGACCUUCGUGUUGUGAGACACACGUACCAACCCCUGCCCCGUGCCAAAUAUUCACUUCAGAAUCAGGUUUGAAUCACGCGACUACAUUUAACUACUUCUACCAGCAGCUAUAGUGACCCUGAUAUGGCCUUAAAGGGGAACUGCACUUUUUUUGGUAAUCAUCAAUCAUCAUAAAAGACAAGACGACGGAUGUAUUUUUUUUUAAUGAAUUCUAACUCGUAAAUAAAAGUCUGCUUACAGCGAAGCCAAUGGAGGUCCUCUUUUCCGACCAAUAAAACCCAAUAAAAAAACAUCCGAAAAGCGUCAACAAUCAUGCCUCUCACCUGGAUAGAAGAAGGAUGAUGACAUAUUCCGACAAGUUGGUACACUUUGACAGCCAAUUUAGACACAAAAAGAUUGGUUCUACCCUCUUUUCUUUGCAAGGAUUAUGAGUGAUUCUUCAUCUAAAAGGGAAUCUAUGAACAUCCUAGAAGUCGGCAUCCUAAUGACAGCAGACCUCG
This is a long non-coding RNA of Nerophis lumbriciformis (worm pipefish), 690 nucleotides long. RefSeq lists it as uncharacterized. The record is from RefSeq and is a predicted model, not a curated record. Lineage: Eukaryota; Metazoa; Chordata; Actinopteri; Syngnathiformes; Syngnathidae.